RNAcentral lists this transfer RNA (85 nucleotides) under Massilicoli timonensis. It matches the Rfam family "tRNA". From Rfam's summary of the family: Transfer RNA (tRNA) molecules are approximately 80 nucleotides in length. Their secondary structure includes four short double-helical elements and three loops (D, anti-codon, and T loops). Further hydrogen bonds mediate the characteristic L-shaped molecular structure. tRNAs have two regions of fundamental functional importance: the anti-codon, which is responsible for specific mRNA codon recognition, and the 3' end, to which the tRNAs corresponding amino acid is attached (by aminoacyl-tRNA synthetases). tRNAs cope with the degeneracy of the genetic code in two manners: having more than one tRNA (with a specific anti-codon) for a particular amino acid; and 'wobble' base-pairing, i.e. permitting non-standard base-pairing at the 3rd anti-codon position. Lineage: Bacteria; Bacillati; Bacillota; Erysipelotrichia; Erysipelotrichales; Erysipelotrichaceae. The record is from RNAcentral.
GGGACAUGGCGGAAUAGGCAGACGCAACGGACUUAAAAUCCGUUGGGAAUUAUACUCCCGUGCGGGUUCAAGUCCCGCUGUCCCC